UACGUAGGGUGCGAGCGUUGUCCGGAAUUAUUGGGCGUAAAGAGCUCGUAGGCGGUCUGUCGCGUCGAUCGUGAAAACUUGGGGCUUAACCCUGAGCUUGCGGUCGAUACGGGCAUGACUGGAGUUCGGCAGGGGAGACUGGAAUUCCCGGUGUAGCGGUGAAAUGCGCAGAUAUCAGGAGGAACACCGGUGGCGAAGGCGGCUUGCUGGGCCAGUUCUGACGCUGAGGAGCGAAAGCGUGGGGAGCGAACAGG
This 254-nucleotide ribosomal RNA is filed under the name uncultured bacterium. RNAcentral's name for it is "partial 16S ribosomal RNA". It matches the Rfam family "Bacterial small subunit ribosomal RNA", at positions 524 to 776 of the family's 1533-position model. The record is from RNAcentral.